RNAcentral lists this long non-coding RNA (230 nucleotides) under Hordeum vulgare. RNAcentral describes it as "long non-coding RNA (HVUL_LNC012048)". Lineage: Eukaryota; Viridiplantae; Streptophyta; Magnoliopsida; Poales; Poaceae. The record is from RNAcentral.
AGGCGCGAGAAUCGAGGCGUCAGGCGCUACUCGAGCGCGCCGGCGUCAUCCCCGCUGGACGCGCGGAAACCGAAAUUUGAAGAUCCCGGAAAAUCCGCCGCUGUCAGUUGACCGAUCGCGUCAAAAGAUGCCGCAGAAGCACUCGGCUUCCGACAGUCUGUUUUGCGAGUACUUCCACUCGGAUCGUUGGUCAGAAAGGAUAAAAUGGAUCGAGGCAAGCAACGCCCAAG